CCGACCCGCAAGGGAGCUUGCACAGGUGCUGCAUGGCUGUCGUCAGCUCGUGUCGUGAGAUGUUCGGUUAAGUCCCGCAACGAGCGCAACCCCUACUGUUAGUUGCCAUCGGGUUAAGCUGGGCACUCUAACAGGACUGCCUACGCAAGUAGUGAGGAAGGUGGGGAUGACGUCAAGUCCGCAUGGCCCUUACGCCUAGGGCCACACACGUGCUACAAUGGAUGUUACAAUGGGUUGCCAAACCGCGAGGUGGAGCCAAUCCCACAAAAGCAUCCUCAGUUCGGAUUGGAGUCUGAAACUCGACUCCAUGAAGUCGGAAUUGCUAGUAAUCGCGCAUCAGCACGGCGCGGUGAAUACGUUCCCGGGCCUUGUACACACCGCCCGUCAAGCCAUGGAAGCUGGGGGUACCCAAAGUCAGUGUCCUAACCGCAAGGGGGGAGCUGCCUAAGGUAAAACCAGUGACUGGGGCUAAGUCGUAACAAGGUAGCCGUACCGGAAGG
This 500-nucleotide ribosomal RNA is filed under the name uncultured bacterium. Its description in RNAcentral is "bacterial SSU rRNA". It matches the Rfam family "Bacterial small subunit ribosomal RNA", at positions 1012 to 1512 of the family's 1533-position model. The record is from RNAcentral.